AGCAAGACUUCAAGAUUCAGGGCUCUCCAGAAGCUCACUGUUGCUGCUUCAAGAGGAAGACCUGGGACUUAGAUUACAAGCUGUCAAGCAAGCAAACUUAAAAAUGUUGUGACAUCCACCUUGUGAAAACAGAGGUUAAUGAAAGGAAGUAUGAAGCACAUCAGAGAAGGAAUCCAUGCACAGGGUUGCAGCAAUGACUUCGAUCGCACUUGCUUCGUUAAUUACCUGGGCCAUUAUAUCAUGGCAUUCCACCAUAUUCCAGACACUAAUACCACUAAGAAAAUACUUUGGAAUCUGAAGGCCAUAGGCAUGUGGUCAAGUUACCUUCAGUUCUUCUUGGAGGUCACAGUGGUAUUCAUACCAUGGCGCACUGGCUCUCUGAGUUCAGUUUGUAAACCCUGUGCCAGCUUCAUCUUCUUGAAACCAGCACUUCCAUCCUCUUCCUACACACCACUGCUUUGACCUAUGCUGGCCACUAUCUGGUGCUUCCCAACUACACCGAAGAGGAGAAAAAUCAACUUUAUUAUACUGUGAAAUUCAGAAACCUGAACAAAUAAAAGUUUGGGAUCCAUUUGAACGCCAGCACGCCAUUAUUCCAGGUUAUGCAGGCAUGCAUUGUGCUGUGAUCAGCAAACUCCAGCUGCUGGAGAAAAGGGCAAAAGCAGUCCUACUUGCAGGUCUGUAAAACUUAUUAUUAUACUGGUAAUGCUUCCACAGUUUCUAUUUCUCAUCCUUCUCCAGUACUAGAUGGCAUGUUAGUAUUAAACUCUUACAGAGCAAAAUGUCUCAGUAGGCAACAAUGUAGGUAUAUUGUGGGCUGCAACUGUAGAAUGGUUUUGAUGUUAUCUUGGGUUUAUUUUCAUUUGAGAAAUGAUGGGUACUUUCCCCUUUUAAAUGGGAUAUUGAGGACUUAAAACUUUGCUAUCUGAUGAGGUCAAAUGGAGCCCCAGAAUAAUGCUGUAUCUGCCUAGCAGCAGCUGACAGGCUAGGGAGCAUGCAGGCCCCCUCCUUGUCCCUGCACUGGAGCACUGGAGGGCAGGAUCCGUGAUCCCAGAUACCAAUUGCUCCCUGUCUCGAGCACUAAGCUGUUUUAACGGCUCUGAUUAAAGUGGUCCUCAGACAACAGUUAAAGACAUUAUUCAAGGCCUGAAAAACACAAAGUCCAGAGAGGACAGGGUCAAAAAUAGUCAAAGAAUGAGAAACAGGAAGUAAGGCAAUAACAGCACCAAAUAAUCUUCAUGCAAAUAGCAGAAAUUUGGGGGAUUUUUUCGUGGUUGUUUACCACAGGUUGCAUUUACUCUGGGCUUUUAAGGUCCAUUUAAUUUUAAUUUCUACCACUCAGUAACUUGUCAUGUAACUCAAAUGGCAAGAAAGCAGCACCUCAUACAAGCCUGAAAGGGGGACACAGCUUCUGUGGCACAAGAAUGAACGCUGGGGCACCUGUGGGCAAAUGAAUUAAUUGCACAACCUCUGUUCACCUCCCUCUCCAUAAAAUAAACCAACCAACCAACACUGUUCCUCCACUGCCAGCAAAUGCAGCUGCUGCCAUAACCUCCCAUUGUACCUGUCAAGGCUGCUGCCUCCCAGAUGAACCUUUCCAUGUUCUUCACUGGAAGGUUACAAUUGCAAGAAAAUUGCAGUCUUUUCCCCAAAAGUAUGAAACAAACUUACACACCUAAAACUUGUCAUAUUUUAAAAUUCAUACUGCAUAUAAUUAUAUAGCAUCCAGUUUGCCUCCCACAAGAAUCUGUGCCUCACUGAGACCAUGCAGGGGCAAAAUGAAGUUUGGGAUGGUAUCUAUAAGCCUACCAUUUCCUAGGCUGACUGCUGACCUAAAUAAAACUUUCAGUAUUAGGUUUUUCCAAGAUGUAAUUUAUACUAUGGCUGUCAGGAGUUAAGAUAGCAGUUGCCAUGGAGCUUUAAUCUUUUUUUAGGCUUUAGUCAAAGGAAGCUAGAAAUCUGUAUGCUGGGUAGAACCCUGCUCAACAGAAUUUUAUUUAAAUUGGGACAGGAUUUUAUCCUAACUUCUCUUCUGAAAGUUAUUCUCAAAGGUUCUAGAAUUCUUUUUAGUUUAUUCAGUUUCCCAGCAGGAGACGAAAGUUUCAUUUUAGGCUUCUCAAAUCACACUAGAUUGAACCACAGAAGUACCCAAGUUGUUUCCUCCUGACUCCUCCAACUACAAACUGUAACUUUCUACUAGUCUUAAUGUGUGCAGCUGAUCACUAUAGUGAAAUUCAUUCAUCAGUUUUACCAUUUUCAGUGGAAGGACUCGGUAAGAACACAGAAGCAAAACUUUUGGGAGGAUUUUAUUUUCUACGUGCCCACUAAGGGCUAAUCCCUACACUGAAAACCAGGCUUUUGAAAUAGAAGUAAUUACAGUCUGAAUCUGUGUGUAUGCUGCUUAUAAUAUCUAAGAGCAGCUUGCAAUGCAUGAAGUGCAUCUCUGAGAAGUAUGAAACUGGCCAUGCUGUACAUGGUAAUAUGCUAGAACACAGUUGCAAAAGAACAGAGAUGCAGUCCGGCCUCACUUGCAAUUAAAACAUUGCUGACUGACUUAAAACUGAAGAAAUAGUUAGGAAAAAAAAAUGCAGAAUUUGCCAUAAAUAAGCUUUUAGAACUCUUACCCUACCCCAACCAAAAAUUCAGAAGGAUUCAGAUGUAAUAUGAGCUUGAUUUCAUGAAGAAACCAGAAUUCAGAGGCAGAUGACAGCUUCACUUAAAUGAAACAGAAUUGUCACUAAAUAGAAAUUUACUGGCCAAUUGUAGUGGAAAUCCACGAUCCUUGAGCUGUUCCAAAGACUGCAGGGUAAGCAGAACAUUGGCACAAGACAGAGGAUUUCAAACUUUUUCAACUCUUCAUGGCAUGUAUUUUAAAAGAGGCAUGGCAAUAGUAAAAGCAUCUUUUUUCCUUCCAAGAUAUGUAAGUCUGUGGGACUUGAACAGUUGCACAUUAACACCUGGUUUCACCACUGACAGCAAAGUGUCUCACCCAACUAGCACUGGACAGAAAAGCAAUUCUCGUGGGUUUGAGUGAUGGCUCUGUUCAACAUUUUGAGAGCAUCAGAUGCAAACUCAACUGUCCAUUCCACUGAAAGAAGACUUCUUUGGUAAAGUAUCUACUAGCAACCAGAAAGAACCUGAAGAAAACUAGAAUCACAAUGACUACAGGCAAAAGGAGCAUUUUGGAUCUCUUAAAAACAGCUAUUCAGAGACGUAAUUAUUCACUGUGCCCAAGAAAAGCUAUGCACUGUGAAUAGGAUUCAGAAAGCUAUGAUGGUCAAGGAAACUGCUUGAAGUAGCUCAAAAUAACUUUUGAGAGGUGAGAUGAAUAAGAAGUGCCUAUCCUCAAGGGCAGAUGCUUUACUCUGAAUUGCAGGUAGAUACACUGUUCAAGCUUUCCAGCCUGCCUUGAGCUAGGCUCCUAUAGGAACCUCACAAAACAGCAAAAGCCACUACUUUCCUAACCUCGUCUGACUGGUCCAGUGCAGACCUUACCAACAUACAGCUCAGUUCAUUAUCUGGUCUGUGGCAUUCCACAGGUCAAACCAUACUUGGACUGCCUCACAUUUACUCCACAGAAGGUAGCCAGGGUUGCUAAUCCUGACAGGAAGGAAGAUGUGCUACUUCUAAGCCAUAGCAUAAACGAGUUGCUUUCUUUUCUUCCCCCACAGUAUGUUUCUUUGCUGACACUCACUGAGUAGACAGGCUGCCUUUCAGGGCUAACACAUCCAUCAUUUGAUUUUAAAGCAGGUUUCAGCAAGCAACAGCUACCAAGAUAGUAUUAGUUUUGAAAUAUGCAACAGAAGAACUUUGGACAUAGUACUUGAUGUGUUAAAGCAUCUUUGUGACUUGCAGGGGCUUUUAUCAUUGCUUUAUUAGCUUUAGGUAUGGGGAGAGGGAAGGUCUAGAUUUCUUUGAAAUGGCAACAUUUAAAGCCAGCUGGGCUUUCUUUUCUUAAUAAAAGAAAUAUAUAUGCAGAUGAGAGGGAGAAAGAACUCCUAACCUCUUAACUUGCUGGUAUGAGAGUUGCUGCAGUUUUGUCCCCAUAGACUGGCUGGCUUUUAGGGGAGACCAAAGAAGGUGCAGUUCAGCCCAGCCAAGUUUGAAGACUAAAACCCCAGACUAAGACUCUAAGAAUCAUCCCUUUUGCAGUUGGGAAUGGUACGAGCCACAGCAGUGCUAAACUGAUAAUUUUUAAGUAUGAACUCAGACAAAGUGAAGUUAGAGGCUUUUAAAUGAGAAAAAUUCUUCAAAGUUAGGAAACACCAUCUUCUUUACAAAAACCUUCUUCCACUCUGAGAGCAUCCAAAAUAGAAAGUCCUUAGAUAAAAUCAGGGAAGAACGAGGCAUUUCACUUACCACCCUUCUGUACCAGUUUUGACACCUGUCACUAUCACAUCACCAUUUCUGUAUGUGUAGAUUAGUUAGUGCUUGGCAGGGAAAUAGUUACAACUACUUUAAAUAGAGAUAUUUUCAUUGUGCUUUUUAGCAGUCAACAGGUAUGAAUUUAGACCAGCAUACAGAAUGCUGCACCUGAAGAACCGGUACCUGUCACAGCUGGUAAUUAACUGGAUUUGGAUUCAAGCAGCUUACAUGGUAGAAUAAAGUAAUAUGCAACAACUGGAGAAAACCUGUAUUUAUCUUGUGUACUGUUUCAGACCUGUCAGAAUUCCAUAAUAAUAAAAAAAAGAGAUAUAAUACAGACAGCAAA
Molecule: long non-coding RNA, 4711 nt
Organism: Colius striatus (speckled mousebird)
Lineage: Eukaryota; Metazoa; Chordata; Aves; Coliiformes; Coliidae
Exons: 4
Source: RefSeq, a predicted model, not a curated record